GAUGAACGCUGGCGGCGUGCUUAACACAUGCAAGUCGAACGGUGAAGCCAAGCUUGCUUGGUGGAUCAGUGGCGAACGGGGGAGUAACACGUGAGCAACCUGCCCUGGACUCUGGGAUAAGCGCUGGAAACAGCGUCUAAUACUGGAGAUGAGCCUCUUCCGCAUGGUGGGGGUUGGAAAGAUUUUUUGGUCUGGGAUGGGCUCGCGGCCUAUCAGCUUGUUGGUGGGGUAGUGGCUCACCAAGGCGUCGACGGGUAGCCGGCCUGAGAGGGUGACCGGCCACACUGGGACUGAGACACGGCCCAGACUCCUACGGGAGGCAGCAGUGGGGAAUAUUGCACAAUGGGCGAAAGCCUGAUGCAGCAACGCCGCGUGCGGGAUGACGGCCUUCGGGUUGUAAACCUCUUUUAGCAGGGAAGAAGCGAAAGUGACGGUACCUGCAGAAAAAGCGCCGGCUAACUACGUG
Molecule: ribosomal RNA, 466 nt
Filed under: uncultured bacterium
Lineage: Bacteria
Description: partial 16S ribosomal RNA
Rfam family: Bacterial small subunit ribosomal RNA
Source: RNAcentral